Molecule: ribosomal RNA, 156 nt
Filed under: uncultured bacterium
Lineage: Bacteria
Description: partial 16S ribosomal RNA
Rfam family: Bacterial small subunit ribosomal RNA
Source: RNAcentral
UGAGGAAUAUUGGUCAAUGGCGAGAGCCUGAACCAGCCAAGUAGCGUGAAGGAUGACUGCCCUAUGGGUUGUAAACUUCUUUUAUAAAGGAAUAAAGUCGGGUAUGGAUACCCGUUUGCAUGUACUUUAUGAAUAAGGAUCGGCUAACUCCGUGCC